GCUUGUUUAGCUCAGUUGGUAGAGCGUAAGGCUCUUAACUUUGUGGGGUUAAAGCCCCACGGUGGGCA
This 68-nucleotide transfer RNA is filed under the name Ipomoea nil (Japanese morning glory). It matches the Rfam family "tRNA". From Rfam's summary of the family: Transfer RNA (tRNA) molecules are approximately 80 nucleotides in length. Their secondary structure includes four short double-helical elements and three loops (D, anti-codon, and T loops). The record is from Rfam by way of RNAcentral. Lineage: Eukaryota; Viridiplantae; Streptophyta; Magnoliopsida; Solanales; Convolvulaceae.